GACGAACGCUGGCGGCGUGCCUAAUACAUGCAAGUUGAGCGCUGAAGGUUGGUACUUGUACCGACUGGAUGAGCAGCGAACGGGUGAGUAACGCGUGGGGAAUCUGCCUUUGAGCGGGGGACAACAUUUGGAAACGAAUGCUAAUACCGCAUAAAAACUUUAAACACAAGUUUUAAGUUUGAAAGAUGCAAUUGCAUCACUCAAAGAUGAUCCCGCGUUGUAUUAGCUAGUUGGUGAGGUAAAGGCUCACCAAGGCGAUGAUACAUAGCCGACCUGAGAGGGUGAUCGGCCACAUUGGGACUGAGACACGGCCCAAACUCCUACGGGAGGCAGCAGUAGGGAAUCUUCGGCAAUGGACGAAAGUCUGACCGAGCAACGCCGCGUGAGUGAAGAAGGUUUUCGGAUCGUAAAACUCUGCUGGUAGAGAAGAACGUUGGUGAGAGUGGAAAGCUCAUCAAGUGACGGUAACUACCCAGAAAGGGACGGCUAACUACGUG
RNAcentral lists this ribosomal RNA (497 nucleotides) under uncultured bacterium. RNAcentral's name for it is "partial 16S ribosomal RNA". It matches the Rfam family "Bacterial small subunit ribosomal RNA", at positions 28 to 507 of the family's 1533-position model. The record is from RNAcentral.